RNAcentral lists this ribosomal RNA (494 nucleotides) under uncultured bacterium. RNAcentral's name for it is "partial 16S ribosomal RNA". It matches the Rfam family "Bacterial small subunit ribosomal RNA", at positions 28 to 507 of the family's 1533-position model. The record is from RNAcentral.
GACGAACGCUGGCGGCGCGCUUAACACAUGCAAGUCGAACGGUGAAGCGCCUUCCUUUUUGGUGGGCGUGGAUGAGUGGCGAACGGGUGAGUAACACGUGAGUAUCCUGCUCCCUUCUUCUGGAUAACCGCAUGAAUGUGUGGCUAAUACGGGAUAUUCUGGGUCUGUCGCAUGAUGGGUCUGGGAAAGAUAUUGUUUCGGUGGGGGAUGGGCUCGCGGCUUAUCAGCUUGUUGGUGGGGUGCUGGCCUACCAAUGCGGUGACGGGUAGCCGGCAUGUGAGGGUCGUCGGUGACACGAGGUCUGCGACACGUCUCGAACUCCUGCAGGAAGCAGCAGGGAGUGAUAUUGCACAGUAGGCGCAAGCAUGAUGCAGCGACGCCGGGUGGAGGAUGGAGGCCAUCGGGUUGUGAACCUCUUUCACCAGUGAAGCAGGCCUGCCUCAUGUGUGGGUGGAUUGACGGUAGCUGGAGAAGAAGAGCCGGCUAACUACGUG